AGCGUGUGACCCUUCGGGGAAUUUGCACAGGUGCUGCAUGGCCGUCGUCAGCUCGUGUCGUGAGAUGUUGGGUUAAGUCCCGCAACGAGCGCAACCCUUGUGAUUAGUUGCCAGCACGUCAUGGUGGGAACUCUAGUCAGACUGCCCAGAUCAACUGGGAGGAAGGUGGGGACGACGUCAGGUCAGUAUGGCCCUUACGCCUUGGGCUGCACACGUACUACAAUGCCCAGCACAAUGAGAACCGAUACCGCGAGGUGGAGGAAAUCUGUAAAACUGGGCUCAGUUCGGAUUGGAGGCUGCAACUCGCCUCCAUGAAGUUGGAAUCGCUAGUAAUGGGGCAUCAUCUACGGCCCCGUGAAUACGUUCCCGGGUCUUGUACACACCGCCUGUCACAUCAUGGAAGCCGU
Molecule: ribosomal RNA, 407 nt
Filed under: uncultured Verrucomicrobium sp.
Lineage: Bacteria; Pseudomonadati; Verrucomicrobiota; Verrucomicrobiia; Verrucomicrobiales; Verrucomicrobiaceae
Description: bacterial SSU rRNA
Rfam family: Bacterial small subunit ribosomal RNA
Source: RNAcentral